This 149-nucleotide ribosomal RNA is filed under the name uncultured bacterium. RNAcentral describes it as "partial 16S ribosomal RNA". It matches the Rfam family "Bacterial small subunit ribosomal RNA", at positions 199 to 334 of the family's 1533-position model. The record is from RNAcentral.
GAUCAAAGAUAGCCUCUUCUUGAAAGCUAUUGUUUGAGGAUGAGCCCGCGUACCAUUAGCUUGUUGGUGGGGUAAAGGCCUACCAAGGCGACGAUGGUUAGCUGGUCUGAGAGGAUGAUCAGCCACACUGGAACUGGAACACGGUCCAG